CUGGCUGGCUGGCUGGCUGGCUGACUGACCUGCUGAGCAAAUCCUUACACCCACAAGGAAAUGAAAACGGACCCAGAAAGUGAUAAAAGCAGACUGCGUUCCGACAGACACUCCAGGGACCACACAGCUAAAGUUGCAUGAAUGUGCUCAGUGACUCAUGGCACCUUAUCACUGAGACCUUUGGAAACUUUUGGAGAAUUAAACCUCUCACAAGUCAAGGGAGGGGGCUUUGGGAGAACCCAGCCCCAGGCUUUCGGUGCACAGGAUCAGUCAGGCGUAUGAACUCAGUAUGUGAGAGGCCAUGGACUGUCAGAGCAGUCACAAGUCUCAAGCAGGGCAGCCUGCGCUGAAUCCAGCCCCAGAUACUCCGCUGCUUUGCCUGUGCUGGGCUCCAUCCACCGUGAUUUGGGUUCAUUGCCAGGAAUCAAAAUAGAGCAUGCCCACUAGCCUGCUGCAGCCUGGGACUCAGCCAAAGCUGGAGCCCCAAGCAGGAAGCACCCAGGAGGCUGGUUCCCUAGCAGUGCCCGGCAUGUGGCUAGCGCAGAGGAUCAUGGGAAACCAUUGCCGGAUGUGGUCUUGGGGAGGAAAAUAGAAGCUGAGUGAUUGCAGCUCUAGCAAAAGGACUCCUGGGAUGCGCAGAACCACGAGGGAGCUCUGAAUGCACCGGGUGAGAGAAGCCAGACUCCCUGCGGUUUCAUUUAUAUGGAAAAAUCAAGACCGAAUUGGAGAGCCAGGGCUACCUGAGGGGAAGGGAAAGACAAAGCCCAGAGAACCCUGGGAGGGAUGGACUCUAGGGCCUGACCCUACAAGGUCACACAAGUGUUUAGGUUUGGAUAUCUGAAUGCUUUUUCCGGGGAGGUGGGGGGUGAGGGUGGAGGGGUGGGAGGGGGAGGAUUCCCAGGUCUUUGAUUCUACAGUCCCUGCCCCCACCCCGUUCUUUUUCUCAUCCCGCUAUGGAUCACAAUAUUUAGCCAAGGGGCUGGAGGGAUGUCUCCGAGGUUAAGAAGAAUAUUGCUCUUGCAGAGAACAGAGUUCAGAUCCCAGUGCCCACCUCUAGGGACUCCCAUAAGUCUGUAACUACCUGCGGGUGACCUGGUACCCUCUUCUGACCUCCAGCACCAAGCACAUACCCACUAACAGACACACAUAUAUACAAAUAUUUUUUUAAUCCUUAAAAACCAAUGUUAAGCAAGAAGAAAAAAAAAGGACUGCCUUGAGCUGGGAAUAUAGUUCAGUAGACACAGUGCUUGCCCAGAACUCACAAAGCUCUGGGUUUGGUCCCAACACUACAUAAACUGGACUUGGUAGCAAGGAAAACUGCAUUUCUACUGAACAUACACAGAAAAUGUUCCUGUUAUUAUUCCCUGAAACAUUUGGUAGAAUAACUUAAUGCAGCAUUUAUAGUGUAUCAUGUUAUUACAGUUAUUAUUUGAUGGCAAUGCCUCCAAGAACCAAGGUCUGGCACAGACAAGGCAAGUGCCCUGCAGGGAGGCCUCCACAGCCCACCUAGAACUGACUAACAGUGUUCAGAGAAGAUCAGGUGAGGUUACAAAAAUCACCACCUCACCACUACUAUAUACAAACAUUUAUAGAUAGAGGGAAGGGAUGCCACAGAGCCUGAAGAUAGAAAAGACUUUAAAAGUUUUUCACACACACACACACACACACACACACACACACACACACACACACGACUCCUGGCACUCCUCUGCUUCAGAGCCUUUGCACCACAGCUCUCUAACGCAGGGUAUUUUCCCCCUCAACCCUUCUCAGGUGACUCCUAUGACCCUGGCUAACACCCUUGGGGCUCAGCUCUUUUGUCUCCCACCUGGUUUUUCAGCUAGCCACCUGUCCAUAGUCCUGAGUCUCCUGUAGGGAGUGGUUCUGCUGCUCUGGUCAUGAAUGACUGUUGAAGGACCUGUUCCCCAAUUGGUUUAGGGGAGAUUUAGAGAUGUUGAAUUGAAAGUGAAGAUAAGGCCACGUUAGCCGUGGGAAGCUUAAAGUGUCUGGCCAAAAAAAAAAAAAAACCCCAUAUUAAAACUAAGUGUGUGUGUGUGUGUGUGUGUGUGUGUGUGUGUGUGUGUGUGUGUGUGUGUGUGAGAUCCUCAGAUCCGGGAUGGCUUCUGGGUGUGUGCAAGAGUGCAUCCAGCCAGGAACACAGAGCAGAGCAGUGUAGCAAAAACUACACGCAACAGUCUCCCAGACCCACGGCCUGUGUCCUUCCUUAUUUUCAGUCAACCUUGGAUACCCAGGUGACCAUUUCCCAUCCUUUGCCCACUGGCCUGUUUCUAUAUGUUCCCACUGUUCUACUGCCUAUUCCUUGUGGACAGGGCUAGUCUGUGGUUACAGCGCAGCGUCCUGGAGCCUACAGCAGUACUCGCCCACACUGCACUUUGGAUGGAGCAGCCCUGCCUGCAGUCACACAAACUACCACACGUGUGCUCAGGACAGAAGGGGCCAGUCUUCAGCACUAUGCAUACGAGUCCAUCCACAGAACCCCUUCCUCUCCUUACCUUCCCUGCAGGCCCCUGAAUUCAUGUCCUGAACAGAUCUUGAGGGGCCUCACUUUCCCCAUACGUGGCAAGUUUCACCCGCCUCUCACAAACUGAAAUUCAAAAGGUGUCAGUUAAUCUCCAGAUUAUUACCACCGUGAAGAUGUGAUUGAAUCAGUUUGGGGUAGGGAUAGAUUUCCUAUUUUCUUUCUAUCUUGGGAUACAGGGACCCAGGCCCAUUCCAAGUGGCUUCUUAGGUCACUUGGAUUCAGCAGUGCAGAAAGGGGUCUUCAGAGGCUGGCCCCAAGCCAAGAUAUGAAGGAACUGGGAUGUGAAAGAGAGUAUUAGUCUCCACCCAAACUUCCUGAGUCUGAAACUAGGGUGGAUGUGGAGAGGUUGAUCCCACGAGGGAAACUCUUUAGGGGUUUCCCUGAUGCUCAAGUUUGAGAGCCACUGCUCUGGGAAGUAGACUGGUUCUGUCUGUCUGUCUAAAUUUUUAUGAGUAUUUUGCCUCUAGGCAUAUAUUUGCACCACGUAUGCUCUUGGUGCUAAAGAGGGCACGAGGUCCCCUGAAACUGGAGUUAUAGGAGAUUGUGAAGCACCGUGUGGAUACUAGAACUAACAUCUGGGUCCUCGGUAAGAGCAGCAAGUGCCGUUAAUCACUCCACCAUCUCUCCAGCCCCUGAGCAGGUGCUUUUUGCCUCAGCAGCUCACAGAAGCACCCACUCGGAUAGUUUAAGAAACCCUGACACAGGGUUGGGAUCGAGCACAAUGGCAGAGUGCUUGCCAGAGCCAGAGGCCCUGGAUAGCGUCCCCAGAACCACAGAAGAAAGCCUGGUGCUAACUGGGCAUGGUGACACACACCCUUUGACCCCAGCACUUAAGAGGCAGAGUCAGGGGCUGGAGAGUUGGCUCAGCGGUUAAGAGCACCCGACUACUCUUCCAGAGGUCCUGAGUUCAAUUCCCAGCAACACAUGGUGGCUCACAACCAUCUGUAAAGAGAUCCGAUGCCCUCUUCUGGUGUGUCUGAAGACAGCGACAGUGUACUUAUAUAUAAUAAAUGAAUAAAUCUUUAAAAAAAAAAAAAGAGGCAGAGUCAGUAGGAACUCAGCAAGUUCAAGACCAGCCUGGUGUACAUAGGGAGUUCCAGGAUAGUCAGGACUACAAGAGAGAGCCUGUUUCAAACAAACAAACAAACAAAAAAACAAACAAACCACCCAGAAACCAAAAACCAAAAACAUAAAGCAAGAUAUAAACAAAUAAAAAUAGAAAAAUGAAAUGCUGAUGUCUGCUCCUCAGCAGAAAUUCCAGUUUAAUUGGAUGUGAAACUAUUUUUUAUACUUAUUUAGACAAGGUGUCAUACAUCCCAGGUUAACCUCAAGUCCACAGCAAUCAUCCGCCCCCUCCCCCAGGUGCUGGGAUUACAGGUAUGAACCACCAUGUUUGGUUUGCUUUAUUGUUAAAUAAGCUUUCCAAAUAAUGUGAAUGGCUCAUCGGGACUCAGAAGUCUUGGCCCAGGGGUGCUGGGCACCCUGUAACAUCAUAGCUGCCCAGACGUACCCAGGCAGGCCCACUUCCUCUGCCUAAUUCCUUCACAUUCUUGCUGGAGCCUCUCUGAGGCUGCCUUCUUAUAUUUGGGUAUUUCCCCUCCCUUCCUAACACAACAAUUCAAAAUAUUCCUAGCCUCCAGACAAUAAACAAAGCCAGGGAGGCUGCUUUCCUCCUUGUGCCCACUUAUGGCCUGAUCCAAGGCCUCCCUGAUUGGGUAUUCAGGCCAUUGGGACUGGUCAUCUGAGCCUGGGCGGAGUGGGCCAAUUUUCAUUGCUACAGCCCCAGAACCCCUCAACUCUUACAUGACCCCAGGCACACCCCCAACACCACUUCCCAAAGGAAACAGAGUCUGCAAGGGUGAAUUAUUUGUGCUAAGACACACAGCAAGACUGAUAAGGCCCCUCUGGCUUGAGGUUUCCAGCUUUGGGGCAGAUGUGGGCUUUGGACUCAACAGACAGCUGUAUGGUCUUGGAUUCUGUCCCUUGUCAGCUGUUACCUUAGACAAGAGACCAGCCUCCGGGCUAAGCCUCUGAGCACUUGUUUGCAAAUGAAGUUGGCUGCAGAGCCUCAGAUGAGGUCACUGUGAAGGCCCGGGUCUGCAUAGGACCAAUGCUCAGAAUUAUUACUGUCAUUCUUGAAUGUUUUUGUCAUGACAGCAUAACUAGUAGAAAUGAACAAAGAGCCCCCCAGGGGACGACAGUGGGAUGAGGGGAUGGGGGAGGGGAGGUUCAAUGCCUAGUAUGCAUGUGUGCAAUCCCAGUGAUGGGGGAGGCCAAAGACUCAGAAGCUCUAAGUCACCAUCGGCUACAUAGUAAGUUCGAAGCAUGCCCGAGAUACGUGAGAUUCAGUUAAUAAGAAAAAGAAGACAGUGUAGGGAGAAGAGUCGGGGAGAGGAAGAGGCAAGAGUAAAAGUUAGGUCACCAGGGGUUGGGGAUUUAGCUCAGUGGUAGAGCGUUUGCCUAGCAAGCACAAGGCCCUGGGUUCGGUCCCUAGCUUGGGGGUGGGGGGAGAAAAGAAAAAAAAAAGUUAGGUUACUUAGGACUUCCUGGUAGCAGUCAUCCCCAAGAGUGACUUUUAUCUGGCUCCUCCUGCCUCAGUCAAGCUUUAACUCUAGUUAUAACUGGUUGGGGUCUGUCCUCCCCCACUACCCCUUCCUGGGAAUGGAGGCUGGACCUUAGGGGAGCUAGGCAGCAAUUUCUUUACCACCCAUCUCCAUCCUCAGCUACUAGGUGCCUUUAAGCCCAUUAUUUUCUGCCUGUGUGUUGAAAGGCUGGGAGUCCCGCCUUUAUUCCAUACAUCACGGCUCUUCAUGUAUCAUUGGUGGAGAAAUGGUGGUGAUACAUGACACACAUCACCCCUAAUACUGCAUAGACCAGGCAGGGGUGCAGGGUAACUGGAAAAGCCCUGGACUGUUCACUUGGAUAUGUGAUCAAUGUGUGGAUAGCUCUCCCUGCACAGACACUGCUUUUCCCACAAGUGGUUCAGCCAGACAAGAAAGAUAAAAAUCUGAAGGUGUCCCUUAGGCUGUUGUCUUCAGCCCGAGACAACUUUUUGCCCAGGCACCAUCCCUUGAAGAAAUGUCAACUUUUUGCAAUCCACCCAGACACCACCACCACUGGUUAGAACACACAGGGCAAUCUGUUAGUUUGGCCUUUAGAAUUUAUGGCCAUACUCUAUGUCCCAGCCACCGAUGCAUAAGGAAAGCACCUAAGCGCUGUCCUAACUGUGCUGUGUGAGGACAGAUCACCCAACCUUUCUGGGUCAGAAUUUCCUGAGAUGCAAUGACAAAAUGUGUGUGUGUGGGUAGGGGGCGGGGGUGCCUACCCAUGGAAGCUCCAAUCACUAGAAAUAACUCCAGCUAAUAAGGGAGUUUUUCUCUUUUCAAUUAGAAGCUCCUCGAGCUAGGUGCCUCAUGUCGACACCCUUUGCGACCUAUUCCGUUCUGUGCCUUUAUUUUUUAUUUAAUCAUUUGUACCCAGGCUAAGGCAAAUACCUCCAGCUCCCACCUCCUUUUCUAACAGUGCCAUCCCCAGAGAGGCGCCAUCUGGUGAUCGCAUCCAGCUAGGUGGGUGUCUUUCCAUGGUCUUCGUUUUUUAUGGGGAGUUUGUUUACUUUUGUAAAAUGUGUGUGUACCAGCGGUAUGAACCUGUAUUUGGAAAAGAAGAUCAGUGGAGGUAAUCUGUGAGGCCCCGAAGUUCUGCUGUAACCUCCGGGGAUCUGUUCUGCUCCUCUAGAGGCCUACAGUCCCAAGAUACUACCCCACCUCUGCUGGGGCUCUCAGCACUGUUUGUGUUCUCAUCUAGGUUUAUACUGGCCGCCAUCAUCCCUUGGUCUUCCUGGUCAGCAUCUCUCUAUCUCUUUCCUGCCUCUACCUCUGUGCGGAUUUUCCCCAAUAGAUCUGCAUCACCAUCUGGUCAUCCUCUGCGUCAGGCCCUAGGCGAGAAGAGAUGCAAUGGCUGAUGUGGCUUCUGGUGCUCCAAGUCUCAGUCUCCCUACAUAGUCUGUCACCUGAUCUACACCCCGAGUUUGGAAUGACUUGUAGUCAGCCACUGGAAGAGCCCUCUGAGUGCCAGGCACCGAGCAUCACUGCCCAGAAUCUGUGAGGUAGCCCAGCAUGUUGAUGUGUAUGCCUUUGUCCAUUUCACAGGUAAGGAAACAAAAUAGCAAAGUGAAGGCCCAGAUAUAUGUGCAACCCCAGAGGUGGGCGUACCAGUGUGCCUUCAAAAUGACAGGGGCUUGGGGACAUGGCUAGUCAUGUAGAGCACAGCUGUGCAAGCAGGAGGAGUUGAGUUUUGAUCCUCCGUACCAGAACAGAAAGCUCGAAAUCCGCACUUGGGUGAGAGGGUGAGGGGUAGGGGCGCAGAUGCCAGAGGAUUGCUGGGACUUUCUGGCCACCAGCCUAGUGGGGAUGGAAGACAGGAUACACAACCAAUGACAAAACCAAACAAAGAAACAAAGAAAAAACAGAAAAAAAAAAAAGACAAAAAUAGAUGCACCAAAGUAGGUGAGCUCCAGGUUCAGUGAGACUUGUCUCAAGGGAAUAAGGUGAAGGGAAUGUUGGCAGGACACUGAUGUCUUCCUAUGGCUCUCCUCACUCACAAAGGAGCAAUCACCCCUUCCACACAGAACCCUACACGAGGGUCUGGGGAUGUGACUCAGCUGCUGAGAGAUUGGCUCACAGGCAUGGAUCCCUGGGUUCUGUCUUCAGCCUCGUGAACUGGGUAUGGUGGCCUACACCAGCCAUUCAGCACUGGGAAGAUAGAGGCAGGAGGAGCAGGAAUCUCAUGUCCGUCUUCUGACACACAGCUAGGUCACGGUCAGCUUUGCUUACAGGAGACCCUGAUUCAAAACAAAGCAGCAGCACAAAGCCCUCUGCUGUGAUCGGCUGUGGUUGGCUUUUUCACAGUCGUCACCGUGCUGGCCCCAGCUGGACAAGGUCAAAUCGUGGCAGACCUUGACUCUAGACAGCUUUCCCUCAUGGCCUCACCGAAAGGGAGCCACUACUUGUGCUUGACGUUCCUCAACUCCAACCCUAUUCAUUUUUAAAUUUAUUUUUAUAUACAUAUCCACCUACAAAGAAUAUAGACAAAUGUCAGUAUUUUUCAUGUGUGCAUAUUUUGAGUAUUUUUGUUUGGUGGACUGGAUUUUUUUUUUUUGAGAUAAGAACUUGCUGUAAGCCCUUGGCUAGCCUAGUACUUGCUAUAUAUCCCAGACUAAAUUUACUAAUAGCAAUCCCCUUGCCUCAGCUUCCCAGGUGCUGGGAUUGUAGGUGUGUGACUCCAUACCUGGUCAGGGCCAUCCCUGUGCUAACCAAGAAUGGUACCACUGAGUUACAAACCUUCAUGGUCACUACAAGAAGACCAGAUGGAUGAUUCUUUUGGAACUUGUCAUUUCUCUCUCUAUGGGACAUCCCCGAGAUUCACCUGUGCUGGUACAUGCUAGCCCGGUUCACUCGUUUCUGUUACCAUAUAGAGUUUAUACCCUGGUGGUAUGAGUUUUGUUUUCCUGUUACAGGUGAGAAAAAUGGGACUCAGAGAGGUUAAAAGCCUGAGAGGAAUCAGCCAGCUUCUAAGAAACAGAAAAUCACAAGCUGGUCCCCAGAUGAUAUGGUUCCUGCCACCCUUUAUACUGAAUUAUAUGAAAACUGAAGAAAAAAAGACCCCUGGGAGACAUCUCAUCCCUGGGAGAUGGUCAGGAUGGGACCUGGCUUGACCAGGAGGUUGUCCAGGGUCAGAGAACGCCCUCAGUUCUGGAGACGUGGCUCAUCAGGUAAGAGUGCACGUCACUGUUGUAGAACGCCAGAGUGUGGGGGACCCAUACUGAGGGACACACAGUUGCCGGUGACUCCAGCUCCAGGGGAUCUGACACCCUCCUCCCCAGCCCUCUGUGCACUUGGGCACAUGCUCACUCGAAUGUCUAUAUACCCUCACAGACACAUAAAAAAUGAAAACAAAUCUUAGAAACCCCAACCACCCCCAAUCCCACAUGAGGACACAGCAUGUAGACCACAGUGGGCAUGUAGAAUACUUCUUCAACUGGGCAUGAUGGUCUGUAAUCCCAGCACCUAGAGCAAGAAGACUGUCAUGAGUGAGUUCUAAGCCAGCCUGAGGUAAAGUGUGAAGCCCUGUCCUACUAAAAGACCCUCCCCACACGCAUACCGUUUUUUCUUUAAAAAAAAAAAAAAGGUACUUUUUCCCCUGGACAAUGAAUUGGAACAGCCUGAGACAGACUCUAAGCUUCUGUAUCCUUGUUUGUAACGUGGGAUUAGUCAUUCCUACCCAGAACAUCUGAGAGUUAAAAUUCAUGGAGGGGCUGAGAUGUGGCUGGUUAGCAGAAUGCUUACCUAGCGUGCACAAAGCCCUGGGUCCAUCCCCAGCACCACUGAAACCCAAUGUGGUGAUGCAUGCUUAGGACAUUUGCACUGGAGAGGCAAAGGUGGAUGAGGAAUUCAAGAAAAAAAAAGUGAAGAGUGUCUAAUGAACCUUUAGACUAUGAAAAUACGGGGUGCUUCAAAGUAGGGAAUGAGAGAAGGGAUCACCACACCUGUGUCAUGGAUGAAGACUGCCUGUUCAUUUUUUAACUAUGAUUUUCAGGUCCUUUGCUCACCAAAGGAAGCCCAAUUCACUCAAAUGUUUUGAGAACUGUUUAAAUAAAUGCAAGAAAAAUUACUGAUAAAAAAAAAAGAGCAUCCUGGGCUAUAUAAUGAGUUUGAGGUCAGCCUGGGCUACAUGAGACUCAGUCAGUUAAUCAAUCAAUCAAUCAAUCAAUCAAUCAAAGAAUGAAAAGAUCCAGGGCCACUCUGUUAGCAGGCCAGGCUCUCACCACAGGCAGGAAGCCAGCCAGAACCCUGGGCUACCUGUCUCUCUCUCUUUACUGGUGGGAUGGUCUUUGUAGGUAUGCCUUGAUCCCACAUUUGGCUUCAGGAAGAGAGACUAUCUUCCUUCCAUUAUCUGGGUAAGGUUUAACCCAAAUCCAAGUCAUGAGAGGCCUCCAAAGACCUCCUUGCAGCUUAGACUCAAGGCUACCAGCUUUUGCCCACAUUAUCAAGGCUCCACAAUUCAGUCGUCAGCUCAUGCCCCAAACAUAUGAUCAUGUCACCCAGCACAGGAAGAAACCCCUCCUCCAGCUACCUCCACCCUUCUCCCUCCCCAUCUCUGGGGAGCAACAGUUGUUUCUCUCAGAGUUUCCACAAGCUUCUCCACCCCUCAGACCAAUAACCCUCUGUGCCUGGCACAGGCCCUGCCCUUCUUGCCAGGGGCAGCUGCUACUGGGGGAGCUGCCUACCCACGCACUCUCUGGCACCAGGCACUGGUUUAGCAUAAACAGGAGUCCACAGACAGAGCCGACCUAGAGCUCCCUCGGAAAGUGUCCCAGCUGGGACAGUAGCAGAGCCAAGCAGAGGCACAUGUGGGUGCCCUGGGUGCUAGGGUUGGCUUCUUCUAACCUUGGCUGGUUGAUCUAAUCAGAACCACCCUCACAGGGAGGCCAAACGGCACCACCCCAGAUGGAGAGGUUGCAGGUGUGCUCAGGAGCUUGGGUGCAGCUCCAGCACAGAGUGUGAUUUUGGGUUUGGUGCCCAAAAUACAACUCAGGGCAGAACACAGAGGUCAUAGGGGCAUUCGGGAGUGUGUGUAGCACAGGGAGGGUGUGUUGUCCUAGGUCCGUCCCCUAGUUUAGGACUGAGAACAGCCCCUCUGUACGUUGCUCUUGGUGCCCCUGUGUGAUACUGAGCAUGGGGACUGAGCUGAGCCAAUAUUCUAACCUGCCCCUGCUUUGGGGGUGAUAGGGGGAUGGUGAGGAAGGUGGUACUCCCUAGAGGGAUUCCGGUAAAAGUUCAGGGUCAGGAUGGGAAGUGUAUCAUAAGCUGGAAGGUCAUGACAGCAGGGGACAGUGACAGGGGACACUGAGAGCAGGAGCGGUUGGGUUGGUUGAGUGUGUGUGUGAGAGUCAGUCCUGGUAAAUGCCAGUGGGCUGCAUUUAGGAAAGAAGGAAAGAAGCAGGAGAGACAGGGCUGAAGUCACCCCCCACCCCUUUUUAAUUAAAAUUAAAAAUUUGAAACAGUGUUUCUAAGUUGCUAAGGCUGACCUUGAACUUACUCAGUAGUUCAAGCAGAUCUUGAAUUUGGAGUAUUCCUGUUUCAGCCCUAGUAGCCAGGAUUCUAGGUGUGUACCACCAGGUAUGGCUUGCCCCCAUUUUUAUAGUACAGAAAGGCAGAGUGCCGAGAGUUGAAUACCAGGCACAUUACCCCUGGUUGUUAAACUUCCCUUUCCCAGAGGACCAAAGGGUACCUGAGUUCUCAGACCUCAAACUAGCAGGUAUAGAAAAGCACUGAGGACUAACUGGUUGAAUGCAUGCCAGGGAGGGACCAGGCUCCAUUCAUACCCCAUCUAAGGCUUCUAGGACCAUGGGGGGCAGAAGAGACAAGUAGAGGAACCGAGACACAUGUACACAGCAUCUCUCUCCCCCACAGCUUCCUCCUGGGUUCUCAAGGAGCCGCACCAGGAGUUAAUGCUUCAGGCUGGGUCCUUUGGUCCUAGAUGUCAGUGUCUCUUGCACGCUCUAUGGCUUGCUAUAGGGGCUGUGUGUGUGUGUGUGUGUGUGUUGUGGAGUAGAAGGAAGAGGGUCUCUGGGCCCCCUGCUUUGUGGCUUCAUCCCUAUCUUUCUGGCUCCUUUCCCUUCACUCCAUGGACACUUACCAGGAAGUACCUUACCCAUCACACCAGUUGCAAACUGUUCAUGGCUCUCUGCAGUUUCCAGUGGACUUUCUUGUGUUUGGAUGCUCCAGUGUCUGGGUGAAGAGGCACUAGCAUGGGUAUUGUUUAUCUCCAAAGUGAAGCCAGACAGAGGGAGAGAAGGAGAGGCAGAGAAAGAGGGAGAAGGAGAAGGAGAGGCAGAGAGACCAAUGAGCAAAUAAUACUUUAGACAGACAUAAAAUCAAGAGAGACAUGGAGCCCCCAACCAGGGACAGCUGGACGCAGCAGCUGAGCUGGCCCUGGUUAAGCAGCCCCUUCACUGCUUACCACAUCCUGUUGGGGACUAGCAGACCCUUGGGGUAGGAAGAGGAAUGGAGGAAGGGAACCAGCUGGCUGUAGGCUAUGUUGUCUCAAAUGUACCUGAUGGGACACUCCCCUAACUGGUGCUCCACCUCCUCCCAGCUAUGUGGGCCUGUGCUCGUCAGUCUGGAUCUUAGGAUCUCAGGCUCCUCACUGAAAUGAGUCUGUCUAGCAAGUGUGUCCAUGCCUGCUUGUAAUCCCAGCACUCAAGAAACUGAGGCAGGAGGGUCACCACGGGUUCCAACCCAGCCUGGACUAUAAUGAGAUCCUGACUCAGAAAAUAGAUGUUAAGAUAGCUCAGCUGUGUUUGCCAUGCAAAUCUGAUGACCAGAGUUGGCUCCCUAGAAUUCACAUAAAAGUGAAAGGAGAAAAAAACCCGACUCCUCAGAGCUGUCAAGGAACCUCAAAAGCAUGUGUGUUGAUGUCAUAGGCACACUAAUAGUAAAGUUAAAAAGAAAUAAAAUGAUUUGUACCAA
Rattus norvegicus (Norway rat) is the source of this 12072-nucleotide non-coding RNA. NCBI's taxonomy places the organism in Eukaryota, Metazoa, Chordata, Mammalia, Rodentia, Muridae. The record is from RefSeq and is a predicted model, not a curated record.